CCCCGAAAUCUGGAAUAACCGGCCGAAAGGCUGGCUAAUACUGGAUAGAGCGAUGGAAUCCGUAAUUGGGUUUUUCGGGAAAGGGAGGCAGCAAUGCCCUUCGUUUCGGGAUGAGCCUGCGUCUCAUUAGCUAGUUGGUGAGGUAAUGGCUCACCAAGGCAUUGAUGAGUAGCUGGUCUGAGAGGAUGAUCAGCCACACUGGAACUGAAACACGGUCCAG
This 220-nucleotide ribosomal RNA is filed under the name uncultured bacterium. Its description in RNAcentral is "partial 16S ribosomal RNA". It matches the Rfam family "Bacterial small subunit ribosomal RNA", at positions 129 to 334 of the family's 1533-position model. The record is from RNAcentral.